GCAGGUUUAGGUGUCGCCAGAGAGGCUGGGAGGAAACUAUAAACCUGGGCGAUGUCCUCUUUAUCAGCCAGCCCUUCUCCUGGGUCAACAGGGCAGAGCGCAAAGUUCACGCAGAUAGUAGCCUGAGAGGCAGGAAGCAUGGCGGUGGUAUGGGAGAGGAGGAAGUGGCGCUCUGAUGGCAAAAGAAGGGCCCCCACUCAAGGCCACUUAGCCCCAGACUCAGAGAGUGGACUCGGGGCCCAGCAGAGCCAGCUCCCCACCAGCCCGGCCAUUUUCAGGUGGUGCAGCGGGGACAGUCAGCCUCCCUGGGCUUCGGUUUCUCCACCUGUAAAAUGGCAGAAAUAAUCAGGCCUGCAGUCCUCGCCCUGUGUGAGGUGAAGAGAGCUGUGUAUAUAACGUACUUAGAAGGCCUAGUAUGGAUCAGAGCGCAUCUGUUGGUUGUGAGAAAACAUGAAAUCAUGCUAUUCGAGGAGGCCCGUGUCCGGCCUGGUCCAUACCUGGCACUGGUGAGCUCAGUCUCCUGUCCACCAGCCCCCAGCCUGGCAGAGAAGACCUUCCUGAUGGCAGAACGGGCCCUCUCUGGAAGUGAUGGGGAAACUGAGGUGCAGAGACCUUUGGGAACUUGCCUAAGAUUAUUAUUUGGCCAGUAAGCAGCAGAGCCUGAAUACGAACCGACUCAGUGUGGCUCCACUACCCAGAUUCUUCACGAUGUCACCUCAUUGCCCCAAGUCCUAAAAAGAUGGACAUGGAAACAGAUCAUUUCAGCACAAGGUGGAGAAUGCCAUGUGGGGAGGGCCUCACAGAGGUGGUAACUCAUUUCACGCGUAUAUUCAAUAAAUCUUUAGACUGGGGUGUAAUGAAGAGCAAAAAUAGACAUCCUACCUGUUUUGGGAAACUUCUAUUGGAGACACAGACAUUACUUAAAUGUUCACCCCCACCCCCACCCCCCCAAAAUGUUAGCUCCAAUCAACAGGUGCCUUUUGCUAUGAAAACUAUAAACACAGAGGUUUGUCAUAAGCAUGGAAAUGAGAGAAGGCUGCUUCCUGGAGGAAAUGAUGGUUGGGCUGAGGCAGAAAAGAUGAGUGAGAGUUAAUCAAAUCAAGAAAAGAAAGAAGAGCAUUCCAGGCAGAGGGAACAGCAUGUGCAAAGGCUCUGAGGCAGGGGGGCAUGGUGAGUAUGAGGGCUGCAAGUCCUGUCCCUGAACUCUGGCCAGCUGACCUUGGCCAGCCCUCCCAGGCAUGUAGCCCACCUGUCAGGACCCCACCACUCCAGUUUGGAGCCCUCCAGCCCACCCUUCCUGGAUCAUGCUGGAGGCUGGUAUCACCGGCUAGUAUGGGUGCCAGCCUCCCUCAGGUCCAGGUAACAGGCUGGCCUCGGGGUCUUCUAAAAAAGCCCCCAAACUGGAAGCUGGUCUAGGGACCCACAGGGACAGUCCUGUGGGAUGGGGAGUGGGACAAGUCCCCAGUGAGUCUUGGGAGAGUGAGCGAAUGAGCGCACCAUAUAAAUGACCUUUGUAAAAAGAAGCCUCAGGGCAGCUGGGGACACAAAUGGGCAAUGACCGCUCCUCCCCCAACCACGAGAACCUCCACUGGAGUCUUGGAGCACCCAACACACACCAAUUAACUCCCACUCCUUGACCGGGUGGGAAGGCCGUGAGUAAGCCCAUUUUACAGGGCAGGGAAAGGGAAAGGCAAGGCUGGAGAGGAACGCUGCUGUUUGGGGCGGCUUCUCAGCCGACCCUUUUGAGGAUGAGACUCUGAGGAGCCAUGUGGAGGUUUUCGCAGGAUCCACAGAGCCUCUGGGAUGAGCCAGCAAGACCCUAGCCUCCCAAUGGGUCUGGAGAGGGGGACAGGCAGACUUGAGGAAAGAGAGGAACCGCCUCUUCCCAGGUUCCCGUGCCUCUCUCUGCCCUAUUUACAGAAAACAAAGUGCCUUUGGCUGACUCUGGACCGGUUCCUCCAAAGCAAUUAGAGCAACACUGUCAAUGCUCCCGGGAGGGCACCCUCCUCCCUCCUCCUGCCACCCUCCCGGAGGCUGAAGGCCCAACUAGGGGCCCAUGCUGGCAUCUGCUGGGAUCGGCAUGCCUGGGGGCCCCCACCCCCACCCUGGGCAGCACUGAAAGGUGC
Molecule: long non-coding RNA, 2126 nt
Organism: Equus asinus (donkey)
Lineage: Eukaryota; Metazoa; Chordata; Mammalia; Perissodactyla; Equidae
Source: Ensembl